GACGAACGCUGGCGGCGUGCUUAACACAUGCAAGUCGAGCGGAAAGGCCCUGCUUUUGUCGGGUGCCCGAGUCGCGAACGGGUGAGUAACAUGUGAGUAUGCUGCCCAUGACUGUGGGAUAUCUUCAGGCGACCGCGGCUAAUACCGGCUACGUGCUGCUGCUGCAUGGGGGGGGUUGGAAAGCUUCGGCUGAUGGGGGUCGAGUCCGGGCUUACGAGCUUGUUGGGUGAGUAGUUGCCUACCAAGGCAUCGAUGGAUAGUCGGCCUGGGAGGGUGACCAGCCACAUGAGGACUGAGGUACGGAGCAGACUCCUACGGGAGGCAGCAGUGGGGAGUAUUACACAAUGGGCGGGAGCCUGUUGCGACAGCGCCGCGUGCGGGAUGACGGCCUUCGGGUUGUGAACCGCAUUCGCCUGUGACGAAGCGUGAGUGACGUUACUGGGUGAAGAAGCACCGGCUAACUACGUG
Molecule: ribosomal RNA, 468 nt
Filed under: uncultured bacterium
Lineage: Bacteria
Description: partial 16S ribosomal RNA
Rfam family: Bacterial small subunit ribosomal RNA
Source: RNAcentral